UACGUAGGUGGCGAGCGUUAUCCGGAAUUACUGGGUGUAAAGGGCGUGUAGGCGGCACUGUACGUCAGAUGUGAAAUCUCCCGGCUCAACCGGGAGCGUGCAUCUGAUACUGCAGUACUUGAGUGAUAGAGGGGAAAGCGGAAUUCCUAGUGUAGCGGUAAAAUGCGUAGAUCUUAGGAGGAACACCAGUGGCGAAGGCAGCUUUCUGGCUAUUAACCGACGCUGAGCCGCGAGAGCGUGGGGCGCAAACAUG
This 253-nucleotide ribosomal RNA is filed under the name uncultured bacterium. RNAcentral describes it as "partial 16S ribosomal RNA". It matches the Rfam family "Bacterial small subunit ribosomal RNA", at positions 524 to 776 of the family's 1533-position model. The record is from RNAcentral.